UACGGAGGGUGCAAGCGUUAAUCGGAAUUACUGGGCGUAAAGCGCGCGUAGGCGGACUGUUAAGUCGGUUGUGAAAGCCCUGGGCUCAACCUGGGAACUGCAUCCGAUACUGGCAAUCUAGAGUUUAAGAGAGGGAAGGGGAAUUCCUAGUGUAGCAGUGAAAUGCGUAGAUAUUAGGAGGAACAUCAGUGGCGAAGGCGCCUUCCUGGCUUAAAACUGACGCUGAGGUGCGAAAGCGUGGGUAGCGAACGGG
RNAcentral lists this ribosomal RNA (253 nucleotides) under uncultured bacterium. RNAcentral's name for it is "partial 16S ribosomal RNA". It matches the Rfam family "Bacterial small subunit ribosomal RNA", at positions 524 to 776 of the family's 1533-position model. The record is from RNAcentral.